Molecule: non-coding RNA, 408 nt
Organism: Electrophorus electricus (electric eel)
Lineage: Eukaryota; Metazoa; Chordata; Actinopteri; Gymnotiformes; Gymnotidae
Source: the annotation of a RefSeq genome assembly
GCAACCAUGACUUUGAUCCCCAUCUUCAUCUGCACACUGGUCCUCUGGACUCAAGAAUCCAUGUGUCAGGUGACUGUGACUCAGACUCCUGCAGUGAAAUCUGCUCUUCCAGGAGACACAGUCACCAUCAGCUGUAGAACAAACCCUGCAGUGUAUAAUAAUAACCGUCUACACUGGUACCUGCAGAAACCUGGAGAAGCUCCUAAACUCCUGAUCUACGAGGCUACUAACUUACAGUCAGGAACUCCAGCUCGUUUCAGUGGUAGUGGAUCUGGAUCUGACUUCACUCUGACCAUUAGAGGAGUCCAGACUGAAGAUGCAGGAGAUUAUUACUGUCAGAGUGAACAUAGUGGCUAUGUGUUCACACAGUUUGUAGACACAGAAACUGGUCUGAUAUCUGCUAAUUAG